Molecule: ribosomal RNA, 484 nt
Filed under: uncultured bacterium
Lineage: Bacteria
Description: partial 16S ribosomal RNA
Rfam family: Bacterial small subunit ribosomal RNA
Source: RNAcentral
AUUGAACGCUGGCGGAAUGCUUUACACAUGCAAGUCGAACGGCAGCACGGGGGCAGCCCUGGUGGCGAGUGGCGAACGGGUGAGUAAUACAUCGGAACGUGCCCGGUCGUGGGGGAUAACGUAGCGAAAGUUACGCUAAUACCGCAUACGAUCUGAGGAUGAAAGCGGGGGACCUUCGGGCCUCGCGCGAUCGGAGCGGCCGAUGUCAGAUUAGGUAGUUGGUGGGGUAAAGGCCUACCAAGCCGACGAUCUGUAGCUGGUCUGAGAGGACGACCAGCCACACUGGGACUGAGACACGGCCCAGACUCCUACGGGAGGCAGCAGUGGAGAAUUUUGGACAAUGGGCGCAAGCCUGAUCCAGCCAUUCCGCGUGCAGGACGAAGGCCUUCGGGUUGUAAACUGCUUUUGUACGGAACGAAAAGGCUCUGGCUAAUACCUGGGGCUCAUGACGGUACCGUAAGAAUAAGCACCGGCUAACUACGUG